UUUGGUAGCAAAGAUGACUUAUCUUUUUUCCCCAGCAGAUCGACUCUGUUGACCGUUUUUCUAACAAUAAGCCAAAUGAUCUGAGCAACCAUA
Molecule: small nucleolar RNA, 93 nt
Organism: Puntigrus tetrazona (Sumatra barb)
Lineage: Eukaryota; Metazoa; Chordata; Actinopteri; Cypriniformes; Cyprinidae
Product: small nucleolar SNORD12/SNORD106
Exons: 1
Source: RefSeq, a predicted model, not a curated record